Molecule: ribosomal RNA, 1119 nt
Filed under: groundwater metagenome
Description: bacterial SSU rRNA
Rfam family: Bacterial small subunit ribosomal RNA
Source: RNAcentral
CUUCGCUUCGUGGGCGUCGAUGAACUCGCCGGUGAGAAGCAUCUCCAGGGCCUGCUUGCGGGAGAGGUUGCGGGAGACGGCAACCCCCGGCGUGGCGCAGAACAGGCCCACAUUCAUGCCGGAGGUGGCGAGCGUUGCUCGGAUUCACUGCGUGUAAAAGGCAAGUAGGCGGUUCCGUAAGUCGGGUGUGAAAUCCCACGGCUCAACCGUGGAACUGCAUUGGAAACUACAUGACUUGAGUACCGGAGAGGUGAGGGGAAUUCUCGGUGUAAGGGUGAAAUCUGUAGAUAUCGAGAGGAACACCAGUGGCGAAGGCGCCUCACUGGCCGGAUAUUGACACUGAGCUGCGAAAGCAAGGGGAGCAAACAGGAUUAGAUACCCUGGUAGUCCUUGCCGUAAACGAUGUGGAUUAGGUGUUGAGGACGUCGAUUUCUUCAGCGCCGCAGCUAACACAUUAAAUCCACCACCUGGGGAGUACGGUCGCAAGACUGAAACUCAAAGAACUUGACGGGGACCCGCACAAGCGGUGGAGCAUGUGGUUUAAUUCGAGGCUACGCGAAGAACCUUACCCAGGCUUGAAAUGUAUUUGACAGCCCAUGAAAGUGGGUCUUCUCGCAAGAGACAAUUACACAGGUGCUGCAUAGCUGUCGUCAGCUCGUGCUGUGAAGUGUUGGGUUAAGUCCCGCAACGAGCGCAACCUUUGCCCUUAGUUGCCAUCACGUCAUGGUGGGCACUCUAGGGGGACUGCCGGCGAUUAGCUGGAGGAAGGAGGAGAUGACGUCAAGUCAGUAUGGCCCUUAUGCCUGGGGCUACACACGUGCUACAAUGGCCAUUACAAUGGGCAGCGAGACCGCAAGGUGGAGCUAAUCCCAAAAAAAUGGCCUCAGUUCGGAUUGAGGGCUGCAACUCGCCCUCAUGAAGUCGGAAUCGCUAGUAAUGGUAGAUCAGCCACGCUACCGUGAAUACGUUCCCGGGUCUUGUACACACCGCCCGUCAAGCCACCUGAGUUGGGAGCACCCGAAGUCGUUGAUCUAACCCGCAAGGGGAGAAGACGCCUAAGGUGAGACCAGUAAGGAGGGCUAAGUCGUAACAAGGUAACCGUACCGGAAGGUGCGGUUG